RNAcentral lists this transfer RNA (73 nucleotides) under Clostridiaceae bacterium. Its description in RNAcentral is "tRNA-Glu". It matches the Rfam family "tRNA". Rfam says of the family: Transfer RNA (tRNA) molecules are approximately 80 nucleotides in length. Their secondary structure includes four short double-helical elements and three loops (D, anti-codon, and T loops). RNAcentral also lists the same sequence under 2 other names. The record is from RNAcentral. Lineage: Bacteria; Bacillati; Bacillota; Clostridia; Eubacteriales; Clostridiaceae.
GGCUCCUUAGUCUAAAGGUUAGGACGCUGGCCUCUCAAGCCGGAAAUGAUGGGUUCAAGCCCCACAGGAGCUA